This is a non-coding RNA of Gossypium raimondii (Peruvian cotton), 70 nucleotides long. The record is from Rfam. NCBI's taxonomy places the organism in Eukaryota, Viridiplantae, Streptophyta, Magnoliopsida, Malvales, Malvaceae.
GGGUAUUUGGUCUAGUGGUAUGAUUCUUGCUUCGGGUGCAAGAGAUCCUGAGUUCAAUUCAGAAUACUUU